This 253-nucleotide ribosomal RNA is filed under the name uncultured bacterium. Its description in RNAcentral is "partial 16S ribosomal RNA". It matches the Rfam family "Bacterial small subunit ribosomal RNA", at positions 524 to 776 of the family's 1533-position model. The record is from RNAcentral.
UACGAAGGGUGCAAGCGUUAAUCGGAAUUACUGGGCGUAAAGGGUGCGUAGGCGGUUGUUUAAGUCUGUCGUGAAAUCCCCGGGCUCAACCUGGGAAUGGCGAUGGAUACUGGGCAGCUAGAGUGUGUCAGAGGAUGGUGGAAUUCCCGGUGUAGCGGUGAAAUGCGUAGAGAUCGGGAGGAACAUCAGUGGCGAAGGCGGCCAUCUGGGACAACACUGACGCUGAAGCACGAAAGCGUGGGGAGCGAACAGG